Molecule: ribosomal RNA, 258 nt
Filed under: Triticum aestivum (bread wheat)
Lineage: Eukaryota; Viridiplantae; Streptophyta; Magnoliopsida; Poales; Poaceae
Description: partial small subunit ribosomal RNA
Source: RNAcentral
AUGGCCAUGUCCACGUCCGUGCCGCCGCCGCCGAGGUUGCCGCUGCUGCACUCGAUGCUGAUGUCGUGCAGCUUGCCCUUCUCGUGGAACCUGGCCCGGGUCAGGAACCGCUUCUUGCUGAACACGUGCUCCUUCUUGCACACCAUGGCCGCGUCCCCCAGCGAGAGCGACGGCCGCGACCCCGUCCGCCGGAACGCCUCCUUGUUCUGGUUGCCGAGCAGGAGCACCACCUCCUCGCCGGAGACGACCGCCACGUAG